GGGAAUAUUGCACAAUGGGCGAAAGGCCUGAUGCAGCAACGCCGCGUGAGUGAUGAAGGUCUUCGGAUUGUAAAGCUCUGUCUUUUGGGACGAUAAUGACGGUACCAAAGGAGGAAGCCACGGCUAACUACGUGCCAGCAGCCGCGGUAAUACGUAGGUGGCGAGCGUUGUCCGGAUUUACUGGGCGUAAAGGGUGCGUAGGCGGAUGUUUAAGUGAGAUGUGAAAUACCCGGGCUUAACUUGGGUGCUGCAUUUCAAACUGGAUAUCUAGAGUGCAGGAGAGGAGAAUGGGAUUCCUAGUGUAGCGGUGAAAUGCGUAGAGAUUAGGAAGAACACCAGUGGCGAAGGCGAUUCUCUGGACUGUAACUGACGCUGAGGCACGAAAGCGUGGGUAGCAAACAGGAUUAGAUACCCUGGUAGUCCACGCCGUAAACGAUGAGUACUAGGUGUAGGAGGUAUCGACCCCUUCUGUGCCGCAGUAAAACACAUUAAGUACUCCGCCUGGGAAGUACGAUCGCAAGAUUAAAACUCUAAAGUGAAUUGAC
This 545-nucleotide ribosomal RNA is filed under the name uncultured bacterium. RNAcentral describes it as "partial 16S ribosomal RNA". It matches the Rfam family "Bacterial small subunit ribosomal RNA", at positions 357 to 914 of the family's 1533-position model. The record is from RNAcentral.